AGAGUUUGAUUAUGGCUCAGGAUGAACGCUGGCGGUAUGCUUAACACAUGCAAGUCGAACGGUCUCUUCGGAGAUAGUGGCGGACGGGUGAGUAACGCGUGAGAAUCUGCCUUCAGGUCCGGGACAACCAUUGGAAACGGUGGCUAAUACCGGAUGAGCAGAGAUGUGAAAGAUUAAUUGCCUGAAGAGGAGCUCGCGUCUGAUUAGCUAGUUGGUGGGGUAAGAGCUUACCAAGGCGACGAUCAGUAGCUGGUCUGAGAGGACGAUCAGCCACACUGGGACUGAGACACGGCCCAGACUCCUACGGGAGGCAGCAGUGGGGAAUUUUCCGCAAUGGGCGAAAGCCUGACGGAGCAAUACCGCGUGAGGGAGGAAGGCUCUUGGGUCGUAAACCUCUUUUCUCAGGGAAGAAAAAAAUGACGGUACCUGAGGAAUAAGCAUCGGCUAACUCCGUGCCAGCAGCCGCGGUAAUACGGAGGAUGCAAGCGUUAUCCGGAAUGAUUGGGCGUAAAGCGUCCGCAGGUGGCUAUGUAAGUCUGCUGUUAAAGAGCAAGGCUCAACCUUGUAAAAGCGGUGGAAACUACAUAGCUAGAGUGCGUUCGGGGCAGAGGGAAUUCCUGGUGUAGCGGUGAAAUGCGUAGAGAUCAGGAAGAACACCGGUGGCGAAAGCGCUCUGCUAGGCCGCAACUGACACUGAGGGACGAAAGCUAGGGGAGCGAAUGGGAUUAGAUACCCCAGUAGUCCUAGCCGUAAACGAUGGAUACUAGCGUGGCUUGUAUCGACCCGAGCCGUGCCGGAGCUAACGCGUUAAGUAUCCCGCCUGGGGAGUACGCAGCAACUGUGAAACUCAAGGAAUUGACGGGGGCCCGCACAGCGGUGGAGUAUGUGGCUUAAUUCGAUGCACGCGAGAACCUUACCAGACUUGACAUGUCGCGAAUUCUGUGAAAGUAGGAAGUGCCUUAGGGAGCGCGAA
Molecule: ribosomal RNA, 973 nt
Filed under: uncultured bacterium
Lineage: Bacteria
Description: bacterial SSU rRNA
Rfam family: Bacterial small subunit ribosomal RNA
Source: RNAcentral